CCUACGGGCGGCAGCAGUGAGGAAUAUUGGUCAAUGGACGCAAGUCUGAACCAGCCAUGCCGCGUGCGGGAAGACGGCUCUAUGAGUUGUAAACUGCUUUUGUACGAGGGUAAACGCAGAUACGCGUAUCUGUCUGAGAGUAUCCUACGAAUAAGGAUCGGCUAACUCCGUGCCAGCAGCCGCGUUAAUACGGAGGAGUCAAGCGUUAUCCGGAUUUAUUGGGUUUAAGGGGGGCGUAGGCGGUCGGAUAAGUUAGAGGUGAAAUGCCGAGGCUCAACUUCGGAAGUGCCUCUGAUACUGUUAGGCUAGAGAGUAGUAGCGGUAGGCGGAAUGUAUGGUGUAGCGGUGAAAUGCUUAGAGAUCAUACAGAACACCGAUUGCGAAGGCAGCUUACCAAGCUACAUCUGACGUUGAGGCACGAAAGCGUGGGGAGCAAACAGGAUUAGAUACCCCUGUAGUC
Molecule: ribosomal RNA, 460 nt
Filed under: uncultured bacterium
Lineage: Bacteria
Description: partial 16S ribosomal RNA
Rfam family: Bacterial small subunit ribosomal RNA
Source: RNAcentral